AUGACUAUAAUUUUAAGUACGGUUACCAAGAUUACACUGUUCAUAGAAUUAUUUUUAUACUCUGAAGAAGAUUCAUCAGUACAACAUGCUAAUGUUGAACAGGAGAAAGAUGAAUGCAAAUUCAAGGAAUCUAGCCCCAAAAGAAAGCGUACAAUAAGCAUUAUUGAAGACGGAGAUUCCGAAAAAGAUGGAACUGAGAAUUAUUCAAAGACUAGCAUAAGGCUUACUAGUGUUGAUAAGGGAUCUAAGAAGAAAGGAAUUCGGAAUGAUAACCAUGAGCAAGUGAACAAAUUAUCACUUUCAAAAACUAUAAAGCAAGAAUCAGAGGAUGAUGAACUCACUAUUGACCAGAGUAAAAGGAGUAGGAGACGGAGCACAGGUCGUGCUGCAAAUCUUGACGGUGAAUCAAAAGCUGAAGGUGCUCAGGAAAUAAACAAAUCCAAAUCCAUGGAAUCAAGCCCCAAGAGGAAGCGUGUUGUAACACGCCAAUGCGCCAGUGUAAUCAGGAGCACAAUGAUUCAAGGCCUAGGACAAGGCUUAGUUCUGUCGAUAAAAAAUCAC
RNAcentral lists this ribosomal RNA (561 nucleotides) under Triticum aestivum (bread wheat). RNAcentral describes it as "partial small subunit ribosomal RNA". Lineage: Eukaryota; Viridiplantae; Streptophyta; Magnoliopsida; Poales; Poaceae. The record is from RNAcentral.